GAUGUGCACCGGUCCCGUUAUCUCCGUUAGUUUUGCUUGCAGGUUGGCUGAGAGCAGAGCGGGGUCCUGGGGGUCUGUCCAGGAAAGAGGAACAUCUCUGAGCAUCUCCGCAGGGGCUGAUGCAUGGAGGUGAUGGAGGACUGCAGACGCGCCAGCAGCAGUCCUCUCCGCUGGUUUGGUGACAAACACAUCCUUGCUCAGAUGCGGUGCCUGAAAUUUUGUAUUUCUCCAUCCAGCGCAGGGCAUGAAAAAGAAAAAGAAGAGGAAAAUCAAGAAUAAAAUCAAGAACCAGGAGCCUGCUGUGGAGCAGCAGCGUGAGGAGGUCUCAAGCACCUUUGACUUGUACCGCCAGGCAAUACUGGCUCUGAAGAUGAGGCAGGAGCAGAGGAAGCAGCCGUCUGCCAUCGCCCCCUGAGCAGGGAAGGCACAUCCCGGGGGAUGUGUGGUCCCAGGGGACCACAGACUGCAGUGACAACACACUCAUGCAGGGUUUCUGGGGUGCUUGGCCAGGGCUGGCAGUCCUGGGCAACAAGUUCUGGGUCAUGAACAGCAUCGUAGUCCUCUGCAUGGCUUGAAAACCAGGGAUCUGCAGGAGCGAGCCAAAAGUCCCUUUGUAAGAUGUCUCUCUGGCAGCGGGGCUGCAAACCCACUUGAAAAGGGAAUUGCCAGCCACUUGCUGACCCCGUGUUAGUAUUCUGUGGAAGAUUCGUUCUGAACCCAACAGAGUCUAUGGAAGAGAGGAAGAUCAGAGCAAAUGCCCAGGGGAAAAGCCUGUAUCUUGAAUUGCUCUAUGACCAGGCAAGCUGUCUUCACAGGUCAGGGCCUGACUUGGCCCCUCAUUCAGUCCCUGGCUGCUGCCUGGACAAGUCUCAUUUCUUGCUAGUGAAGAUGGGAAGACAGUCACAGGAUGGUCUGCAGAAGAGCUUCACCCGGCCCCCAGCCACCUCUGGCAGGGCUGUCAGGAGCUCCCUCACACAGUGGAGGAGGGUGAUGCCCAUGCGGUCUGAGCAUCUUUGCAGCCUGUCAGUGAAGGUUUAGUUCAGUGGCAGCUGGUGGUGGAGGCUGCUGGAGGCUCUUUCCCCAGGAUCGUUCCUCCUGAUCCUGCCAUCCUCCCAGGAAGGACAGUGGUCACCUGCAGGUGACACCAAAUCCUCCCAUGUCACUGACAGACUGGCACCCUGAAGCCCCAGGCAGUCCCUGAUCUAUGUUCAGCUCAGUUCUGAGACAGGACAACGAGCAGCAUCUGCAUCCCAACACAACCCGUCUGUGACAUGCAUCGUGUCUGGCAAAGCUGUGGUGUCGCGGGGACUGGGUCAUGCCAGAGAGCUCGUACUGCCUGGCUCUGUCUGAGUGCUCAAGCAGGGAAACCAACCGUUGGCCCUGGAAACACUUACGUGAAGUCAGGAGUGCAGCAGUUUUUUUUCUCCAUAGCUCCAACAGCGUGAGUCAUCUCUGAUUAACAGGCGAUGCCUUUGUGGUCCAGGGAAGAAAAAUCACUAAAGCCCUUCCCUCAGCAGGGCUGAAAAGAAAGGAAACUCUCGCUCCUCUGCCUUGCCAGUCCGCUGUAAAGUUCUGUCUAACUGCCAGAUUCAACUGUCAGUGACUAUUGGGAUUAACUGUAAAUAAAUUGUAAAUAACAAGAGCACAAAUUAAUUCUGGCCUGUAAAUACAGCACUUUAAGUAAA
This is a long non-coding RNA of Athene cunicularia (burrowing owl), 1685 nucleotides long. RefSeq lists it as uncharacterized. Lineage: Eukaryota; Metazoa; Chordata; Aves; Strigiformes; Strigidae. The record is from RefSeq and is a predicted model, not a curated record. The transcript has 2 exons.